UGGGGAAUCUUCCGCAAUGGACGAAAGUCUGACGGAGCAACGCCGCGUGAGUGACGACGGCCUUCGGGUUGUAAAGCUCUGUUAAUCGGGACGAAAGGUCCUCUUGCGAAUAGUUAGAGGAAUUGACGGUACCGGAAUAGAAAGCCACGGCUAACUACGUGCCAGCAGCCGCGGUAAUACGUAGGUGGCAAGCGUUGUCCGGAAUUAUUGGGCGUAAAGCGCGCGCAGGCGGAUCAGUCAGUCUGUCUUAAAAGUUCGGGGCUUAACCCCGUGAUGGGAUGGAAACUGCUGAUCUAGAGUAUCGGAGAGGAAAGUGGAAUUCCUAGUGUAGCGGUGAAAUGCGUAGAUAUUAGGAAGAACACCAGUGGCGAAGGCGACUUUCUGGACGAAAACUGACGCUGAGGCGCGAAAGCCAGGGGAGCGAACGGGAUUAGAUACCCCGGUAGUCCUGGCCGUAAACGAUGGGUACUAGGUGUAGGAGGUAUCGACCCCUUCUGUGCCGGAGUUAACGCAAUAAGUACCCCGCCUGGGGAGUACGACCGCAAGGUUG
Molecule: ribosomal RNA, 550 nt
Filed under: uncultured bacterium
Lineage: Bacteria
Description: bacterial SSU rRNA
Rfam family: Bacterial small subunit ribosomal RNA
Source: RNAcentral